This 439-nucleotide ribosomal RNA is filed under the name Lucerna mora. Its description in RNAcentral is "Pleurodonte mora partial 16S ribosomal RNA". It matches the Rfam family "Archaeal large subunit ribosomal RNA", at positions 1922 to 2671 of the family's 2987-position model. The record is from RNAcentral. Lineage: Eukaryota; Metazoa; Mollusca; Gastropoda; Stylommatophora; Pleurodontidae.
AACUAAAUGUGACUCAUAUUUAGCUUCUUCUGCUCAAUGAGUAUUUUAAUAGCCGCAGUACCCUGACUGUGCAAAGGUAGCAUAAUCAUUUGGCUCAUAAAUGGAGUCUUGUAUGAAUGAAUGUAUGGGUAAAGACUGUCUCUGGGUAAUAGGUAGAAUUUUUUUAGUAAGUGCAAAUACUUACAAACAGUUAGUAGACGAGAAGACCCUAGAAAUUUUUUAAUAGUAAUGAACAAGUGACAUUAUAUCUAUUUUGCUGGGGCGGCAGAGUAACAACUUUAACUUACUUCGUGAUAUGACUUUUAUUUACAGAUAAAUCAAAAUUACUCUAGGGAUAACAGCGUAAUUCUUAAGAGUUUGCGACCUCGAUGUUGGACUAGGAAAGAAGGUACUCAGAAGGUAUUUUUUUACGUUCUGUUCGAACGAAUUCUCCUACAUG